AAACUUCCGCAAUUGUCGAAACUCUGAUGGAGCAACGCUGCGUGAGUGACGAAGGUUUCCGGAUCGUAAAACUCUGUUGUUAGGGAAGAACAAGUAUCGGAGUCACUGCCGGUACCUUGACGGUACCUGACGAGAAAGCCCAGGCUCACUACGUGCCAGACGCCGCGGUAAUACGUAGGUGGCAAGCGUUGUCUGGAUUUUUUGGGCGUAAAGCGCGCGCAGGCGGUCUUUUAAGUCUGAUGUGAAAUCUUACAGCUUAACUGUAAGCGGUCAUUGGAAACUGGGAGACUUGAGUGCAGAAGAGGAGAGUGGAAUUCCAUGUGUAGCGGUGAAAUGCGUAGAGAUAUGGAGGAACACCAGUGGCGAAGGCGACUCACUGGUCUGUAACUGACGCUAAGGCACGAAAGCGUGGGGAUCAAAC
Molecule: ribosomal RNA, 421 nt
Filed under: uncultured bacterium
Lineage: Bacteria
Description: partial 16S ribosomal RNA
Rfam family: Bacterial small subunit ribosomal RNA
Source: RNAcentral